This 528-nucleotide ribosomal RNA is filed under the name uncultured Nitrosomonadaceae bacterium. RNAcentral's name for it is "bacterial SSU rRNA". It matches the Rfam family "Bacterial small subunit ribosomal RNA", at positions 1 to 523 of the family's 1533-position model. Lineage: Bacteria; Pseudomonadati; Pseudomonadota; Betaproteobacteria; Nitrosomonadales; Nitrosomonadaceae. The record is from RNAcentral.
CGCCCUUGAGUUUGAUCAUGGCUCAGAUUGAACGCUGGCGGCAUGCUUUACACAUGCAAGUCGAACGGUAACGCGGGGGCAACCCUGGCGACGAGUGGCGAACGGGUGAGUAAUACAUCGGAACAUGUCCUGGAGUGGGGGAUAGCUCGGCGAAAGCCGGAUUAAUACCGCAUACGCUCUGAGGAGGAAAGCGGGGGACUCGCAAGGGCCUCGCGCUGCAGGAGUGGCCGAUGUCGGAUUAGCUAGUUGGUGAGGUAAAGGCUCACCAAGGCGACGAUCCGUAGCUGGUCUGAGAGGAUGAUCAGCCACACUGGGACUGAGACACGGCCCAGACUCCUACGGGAGGCAGCAGUGGGGAAUUUUGGACAAUGGGGGCAACCCUGAUCCAGCCAUGCCGUUUUUUUGAAGAAGGCCUUCGGGUUGUAAAGCUCUUUCGGACGGGACGAAAUGGUUACAGUGAAUAACUGUGAUUGAUGACGGUACCGUAAUAAGAAGCACCGGCUAACUACGUGCCAGCAGCCGCGGUAA